RNAcentral lists this unclassified non-coding RNA (353 nucleotides) under soil metagenome. RNAcentral's name for it is "partial contains 5.8S ribosomal RNA, internal transcribed spacer 2, and large subunit ribosomal RNA". The stretch from base 1 to 120 matches the Rfam family "5.8S ribosomal RNA", at positions 35 to 154 of the family's 154-position model. The record is from RNAcentral.
GAUGAAGAACGUAGCGAAAUGCGAUAAGUAAUGUGAAUUGCAGAAUUCAGUGAAUCAUCGAAUCUUUGAACGCACAUUGCGCCCGCCAGUAUUCUGGCGGGCAUGCCUGUCCGAGCGUCAUUUCAACCCUCGAACCCCUCCGGGGGGUCGGCGUUGGGGAUCGGCCCUUUCACCGGGUGCCGGCCCCUAAAUACAGUGGUGGUCUCGCCGCAGCCUCUCAUGCGCAGUAGUUUGCACACUCGCACCGGGAGCGCGGCGCGUCCUCGUCCGUAAAACACCCCAAACUUCUGAAAUGUUGACCUCGGAUCAGGUAGGAAUACCCGCUGAACUUAAGCAUAUCAAUAAGCGGAGGA